AGCUUUAAAGUGCACAUGAAUCUUGUUAACAUGCAGAUCUGGUUCAGUGGGUCUGGGGUGGGACCUCAGAGUCUGCAUUCCUAACAAGAUCCUGGGAGAUACCAAUGCUGCUCCUGCGCAAACCACGCUCACAGGGAAAGCAAGCAGCCAGCAAACAGCUCACUUGUGCUGUUUUGUCAAGAAUGGACCUCAGAGGUUGUGUUUGAGAAGCUUGGCACACUGGUCCCUGCUAGACAGCUAACACACCCGGUUAUCUUAUCUGUGGCUGAUAAUGACUUACUGUCCUGCUGCUCCCAGAUGUCAACAAGGGCGCCUCCUAUAAUCUCAAUGGGAAUACUUGGAAAGAGUGUCUCAAAAUCCCACUGCAUACAGCACGGCUGACCAGCAGGCAGAGAGGAUUUUUCAGCACAUACUCUUAUUAUCUCCCCACAAGUUUGGAAAUAGAUUUUGUGAUUGCACCUGACAAACACGGAGAUGAGGAUGCAGAAGAGAAAGUUGAGCACCAGUCAAGGUUACACAGGCGUGAGUGCCAGGUGGGUUCUCCUGGCAUCCAACACAGCUUCGGAGAAGCACAAGCGGGAAGCAAGGGACCCGUGAUGCAGGCCUGCAGCGAAGCCCUGGCCAGCCUGCCUCUCCACGGAGCUGGUUGAAGUCUGCAGAGAACUGGGCACCGCAGCUGUGCGUGGCACGAGAGGACAGUCUGAGAAGACCUGAAGUGAUGUACAAGAGGUGUUCAAUACAUGGUGCGUGUCACACUGUAAGAGCUCAAUAAAUAUUUGUUCACUGAAAAGACCCCAGGUGACUGGAUCACGGAACUGAAGAGUUGGAGGAGGCCGUGGAAAUCAGCUCAUCCAGCCUCCCACCUGGUGUAGGUUUUCCUUCUGAAGGAGCCAGGCAGAUGCUUCCCGAAAAGGGGAGCUCACCCACUGCUUGUAGGGAGUCCUUUUUGUGUGUAGGGACUUCUACCUCUGGGAUGUUUCCCUCACAUGGACAGAAAUCUAUCUCCCUGGACAUUCUACCAUCAGUUCCAGUUCAGCCCCCAACAACAUAACACAGCCACUUCCUUUGCCAAAUAGCACCUGGAAAUGAGGUUUGCACGUGAAGGCAGCAUUUAAACAGGAAGCUGAGAGUCUUUAGUUCAGUGUCCUCCAACUUAAGUCUGGGUUGGCCAGCAUGGCCUGAGACUGGGUUUAACGCUACCCUACUUCACCCCACCCCAGGCACAGGUUCCCACAACCUGAGCAGCGCCUGUCCUGUUAGGGAGGGAGGCGAUUCACAUCCAACUGGGAGGAGCGGCCUUAUACGCUUAGAAAAGCAACUCUGUCAAAAUUGACACCUUCUGUCAUCCUCCCAUGUCGAGCACCCUGUCCUAGGAUGGUCACCCCUGAGCAUCCUUCCUGAGUGGUACAUUCUUGAGAAACUGAACCAUGGCCAGAGGCAGCCAACCCAGCGCCGUACCUUGGACUUCUGAAGAUAGUGACCAAGUCUCUUCAGAGACAUUUCAGCUCCUUCUGAUGAGAUGGCACCUUGACAUGCUGGCCGCCUUCCUCUUGAUACUUCCCAGUUUAUCAUCAAACUGUAACUCUCUUAAAAGGCUGAGUCCAUCCUGAAAACAGUACUCCACAUAGGGCCAGGCCGGCUCUGGGCACAGCGAAGCUCUGAUUCACGCUUGCACACAUUUGCUCAUGGUAGAUGAACAGGGAGGAGAAAUCCUGCGUGCAGUUAAUGUUGGAAAACUUGACAGAAUGAAAUAACUUGUAGAGAGAUGAGAAGUACCUUUCCUGCAUUAAUACAAACAAAUAUUGGGGAGAGGGGCCCUGCUACAAAGACCCAUCAACUGGCAGGUAGUCAAAAAGCCUGCUGGGAAUAGGGGACUAAAAAAAGGCAGAGCUACAAGGAUCCCCCCAGGUCAUCAAUUCCUUACACAUUUCUGUAUUAUUAUUCUGUGACACUGUUGUGCCACGAUUUCUACACAUUUCCCUAAAAUGCUAUGAGCAAACUGAGGGCAAGGACCAGCCUUGAGCACUGUUCCUAGUGCCUCGUUGGUGUCCAGUAGUUUUUAAUUGAAGCAGAACAUGAUAGCGCUCUACCCCAGGCCCCAAGCCCAGGUUAGGAUCACCCAGUCUCCCUUCCACUCCUAGCUCUCCGCCUGCCUGUGGUCCUGCUCUUUAAGCCUGCCUUUGGCUUUCAUUUCAGCCAGAUUCUUUGCAAAACCCUUUCGUUUUCUGUACUCUUCCAUUUGAGAAUUAACCCUUCACUUGGCAAAGAACUAAGUCUACUCUAAGUUACCUGGACAAAGGGUACCCACAGCCCUCCUGGAACCUGGCUAUUAAGACAGUGACAUUCUACUGGGGGCGAUAUUAGCAAACUCCAUCACCCCCCAACCCCCAUUACCACCCAUAAGCCCCCGGUAGUUGGCAGAGAAACCUAACUGCUUC
Molecule: long non-coding RNA, 2438 nt
Organism: Equus caballus (horse)
Lineage: Eukaryota; Metazoa; Chordata; Mammalia; Perissodactyla; Equidae
Source: Ensembl